AUGGGUGGCCUGGGGCUCCUCCUCCCCGCCGACCGCGAACACGACCCGGAGCUGGAGCCGUGCUCUCCCCCCAAGGGCGUCCUACGGCUGCGCGGCGCCGUGCAGCACUACGAGUGGGGCAGCCGCGGGGACGCCUCCCUCGUCGCGCGCCUCGCCGGCGAGACAGAGGAGGGCCGCCCCUGCGCCGAGCUCUGGAUGGGCACCCACCCGGCUGCCCCGUCGUCGCUAGCAUCCGACGACGGCGGCGCGGUCUCGCUCAGGGAGUGGCUGGCGCGCAACCCCGCUGCGCUCCUCGGCCGCGUCGUCACCGCGCGCUGGGACGGCGACCUCCCCUUCCUAUUCAAGGUGCUGUCGGUGGCGAAGCCGCUCUCCAUCCAGGCGCAUCCGGACAGGGAGCUCGCCAGGGCGCUCCACGCGCUGCGCCCUACCACGUACCGCGACGCCAACCACAAGCCUGAAAUGGCCGUUGCCGUCACCGAGUUCCGCGCCCUCUGCGGCUUCGUCAGCGUCCAGGAGCUCAAGGAUGUUUUGAGGACUGUACCUGAGGUUCGAAUGUUAGUUGGCAAAGAAGAUGUUGUGAAGCUUAUGACUGCCAAAGAGCACGAUGGAGGUAUUGGAGUAAGGUCAUAUCUGCAAUCAGCUUUUACUAAGCUAAUGGCAACAAGCAAAGAAGCAGUUGCUGAAGCAAUUUCCAAAUUAAGGAGUCGCUUGAAUGGGGAGAUAAAGAUUAGAACCUUUACAGAGAAGGAGCAACUAGUUUUAUCACUAGAGCAGCAGUACCCAGGAGAUGUUGGCGUUUUAUCAGCAUUUUUCUUUAACUAUGUUAAGCUCAGACCUGGUGAAGCACUUUACAUUGGUGCCAACGAACCACAUGCAUAUCUAUCAGGAGAGUGUGUUGAAUGUAUGGCUACCUCAGACAAUGUAAUUCGUGCUGGUCUGACUCCUAAGUACAAAGAUGUCCAAACUCUUUGCUCCAUGCUGACAUACAAGCAGAUGUUCCCCGAAAUUUUGCAAGGUGUUCUGGUUCAGCCAUAUGUAAUUCGUUAUACACCCCCAUUCGAUGAGUUUGAAGUUGAUCGCUACUUACUACCUCAAGGUGAAUCGGUUACCAUGUUACCAGUGCCUGGCCCAUCCAUCUUCCUCGUCAUGACUGGGGAGGGCGAGAUCCAGGCUGAUGGCAUGCCUGACGAAGGAGUAGCAAAAGAAGGGGAUGUUUUCUUUGUGCCGGCACGCACGGAGGUGAAGCUUCACGCUUCUGGCCCUGGGUGCUUGCAGCUGUACAGAGCCGGAGUAAACAGCAGAUUCUUCUGUUGA
RNAcentral lists this ribosomal RNA (1314 nucleotides) under Triticum aestivum (bread wheat). RNAcentral describes it as "partial small subunit ribosomal RNA". Lineage: Eukaryota; Viridiplantae; Streptophyta; Magnoliopsida; Poales; Poaceae. The record is from RNAcentral.